CAGGCCUAACACAUGCAAGUCGAACGAUGCUUUCGGGCAUAGUGGCGCACGGGUGCGUAACGCGUGGGAAUCUGCCCUUGGGUCUGGGAUAACAGUUGGAAACGACUGCUAAUACCGGAUGAUAUCGCGAGAUCAAAGAUUUAUCGCCCGAGGAUGAGCCCGCGUCAGAUUAGCUAGUUGGUGGGGUAAAGGCCUACCAAGGCGACGAUCUGUAGCUGGUCUGAGAGGAUGAUCAGCCACACUGGGACUGAGACACGGCCCAGACUCCUACGGGAGGCAGCAGUGGGGAAUAUUGGACAAUGGGCGAAAGCCUGAUCCAGCAAUGCCGCGUGAGUGAUGAAGGCCUUAGGGUUGUAAAGCUCUUUUACCCGGGAUGAUAAUGACAGUACCGGGAGAAUAAGCCCCGGCUAACUCCGUGCCAGCAGCCGCGGUAAU
This 435-nucleotide ribosomal RNA is filed under the name uncultured bacterium. RNAcentral's name for it is "bacterial SSU rRNA". It matches the Rfam family "Bacterial small subunit ribosomal RNA", at positions 43 to 524 of the family's 1533-position model. The record is from RNAcentral.